AGUAGGGUCAGCUAAGCAAGCUAUCGGGCCCAUACCCCGAAAAUGCCAGAAUCGGCCCCUACUA
This 64-nucleotide transfer RNA is filed under the name Thermophis zhaoermii. RNAcentral describes it as "tRNA-Met". Lineage: Eukaryota; Metazoa; Chordata; Lepidosauria; Squamata; Dipsadidae. RNAcentral also lists the same sequence under 1 other name. The record is from RNAcentral.